GAUGAACGCUGGCGGCGUGCCUAAUACAUGCAAGUCGAGCGAACGGACGAGAAGCUUGCUUCUCUGGUGUUAGCGGCGGACGGGUGAGUAACACGUGGAUAACCUACCUAUAAGACUUGGAUAACUUCGGGAAACCGGAGCUAAUACCGGAUAAUAUUUUGAACCGCAUGGUUCAAAAGUUCAAGACGGUCUUGCUGUCACUUAUAGAUGGAUCCGCGCUGCAUUAGCUAGUUGGUAAGGUAACGGCUUACCAAGGCAACGAUGCAUAGCCGACCUGAGAGGGUGAUCGGCCACACUGGAACUGAGACACGGUCCAGACUCCUACGGGAGGCAGCAGUAGGGAAUCUUCCGCAAUGGGCGAAAGCCUGACGGAGCAACGCCGCGUGAGUGAUGAAGGUCUUCGGAUCGUAAAACUCUGUUAUUAGGGAAGAACAUAUGUGUAAGUAACUGUGCACAUCUUGACGGUACCUAAUCAGAAAGCCACGGCUAACUACGUG
RNAcentral lists this ribosomal RNA (497 nucleotides) under uncultured bacterium. RNAcentral's name for it is "partial 16S ribosomal RNA". It matches the Rfam family "Bacterial small subunit ribosomal RNA", at positions 28 to 507 of the family's 1533-position model. The record is from RNAcentral.